CAAAAUAGAUUGAACUCGACGGAUGUUUCAUCAAAAUCAGAUCGCGAAAAAGGGGAUAGCUAUGGUUUGUUCUUGGCAGAAAUUUGAGGAGUUAAAGUUCGUUUUUGGGCAGUAAUUCUAGGAGAAAAUAUACACAUCACGAGGAAGCAAAGCUUAACAAUCCAGGUGCUACUAAGAUUCUCAUUCAAUUGAGGAUUUCGGUUUUGUCGACACCUUAUUAGAGAAAUGAAUUCACAAAUCAGUUAGGGAUUGUUUCAAAUAUUGUUUUCCGAUUCUAUUUGCACUAAAUCAGGGAGUGGAUGUGGCCUGAUUUCAGUGGGUCUUAUGCAGUAAAACGAGGAAGAAUAUACAACACUUUGGAGAGAUUAUUUUUCAAAUCAACAACAGAUUUUGACGAGAAUAAAGGAUGGGGUUUUGUUGUACUGAAUGAAGAGGUAGAUAAGGGUUGGUUCAGUUGUUUUAGGCAUGAAGUUAGGACUGAUUUGUGGAGAUGGACUAGAAGUUAGAGAAGAAGUCAAGUUGUUGCUGUAUAAAAGGAGAAGAAGAAGAAACCAAGAGGGAGUAAGAUAGGUUUAAAGGCGACAGUUAGGAGCUGGCUACGGUUGCAGGAGACAGGUGCCAAUUGUUUUUGUUGUGGGUAGGCUGAAAUUUAGCCUAAAUCGCAGCGGUUUGAUAACAUUGUACCUGUUUCUUGUUCCUCUUUUAGUUGCUGCUUUGUUUUCCUGUCGCAUUUUGUUUUGAUUAGUUGCUGGGUUGCUUUACAAGUGUAUGCAAUAUUCUAGGUCUGAUCAUUUUAAUCGAUUACAUAACAA
Molecule: long non-coding RNA, 812 nt
Organism: Papaver somniferum (opium poppy)
Lineage: Eukaryota; Viridiplantae; Streptophyta; Magnoliopsida; Ranunculales; Papaveraceae
Exons: 2
Source: RefSeq, a predicted model, not a curated record